CAAAAAAAAUGCAUUUGAGGCUUCUAUUCUGGUUAUAUUUUGUGCAACAUUAUCCUUGGUCAAGUAUCUGUUCCUAUAUACAAAAGGUCUUUAUUUUAAUGGAAAAUUGAGCAGUAGCCAUUGACCCAUUUCAGUUGACUAAGGGUAUGUUUGGAUCCACCUCAAUCAAAUUAUAGAAGUUAACAUGUAAAUUGUGGAAUUGUUAAAAGAAUGUGGGUUGUCUGUAUCCACCCGGAUUUUUGGGUGGUUGUCUCCCAAGUUCAUGAAAGCUGAGGUGAGGUAACAUGUGAGAUUCCAUAAUAUGGGGUUAGUGGAUUGUGAAAGAGUUGGACCACAAUCUAGGCUGUUUGGAUCACAAGCUUGUUUCUAAAAGGUAGAUGCUCCACAAUUUGGGUGGAUUCAAACAGACCUUAAGCAUAACCAUCUGAUUUGGAUACCUCCUCCCUCCCUCGGUCCCUCCCUCCGAACAUCCUCAUUGCAUUACUGGACCUGCCGUUCUCCGAGUCCACCUAAUUCCUUGAUCCUCCAUCACCAUCACCACCCAAGCAACUGUCCAUCGUGCACACUACCCAC
This 573-nucleotide long non-coding RNA is filed under the name Setaria viridis. Its description in RNAcentral is "long non-coding RNA (SVIR_LNC002969)". The record is from RNAcentral. Lineage: Eukaryota; Viridiplantae; Streptophyta; Magnoliopsida; Poales; Poaceae.